Molecule: non-coding RNA, 2700 nt
Organism: Vicugna pacos (alpaca)
Lineage: Eukaryota; Metazoa; Chordata; Mammalia; Artiodactyla; Camelidae
Source: RefSeq, a predicted model, not a curated record
CUCCUCUCUCUCUCUCUUUUAAAAAAAUCAGCCAUUUGGGGUUUUAAGCCAUAAACGAUUUUUCUUGUUGCAGGGGAUUGCAGUGGCAAAGCUAGGCUAGGUCUUGGAGGCUGGUGUAAGGCGAAGCGGGUGAAGGCAGGAGGCUGAUGGAGAGACUGGGGGGAAGAAAAGCCGAAAUGGAUUCACUGUGCCUUGGAUGGAGGACGAGAGGGGAAUUGCAAGCUCCUUCAGCUCGUUCUGUCCGGUGAGAAGUGAUCAAGCUUGGGCUGACAAGAGGCUCAGGGAGCCCUCACGUUCUUUCGCUUUUUUACCUGCCAAUCAAACUGCUACAAGACAACACCCUGAUCUGGCAUGGACAUCGCGGGUCCAAGCCUGUAGCCCCAAAUCGGAUAAUCUGUGCAGCUGAUAACAAGCAAAAGAGAAGCCAGGCAACAGCCAUAUUAAAGAAGAAAACAAUCAACUCUGAGGUUGUUAAUCUGUCUGAGAGGCGACCAGAGAGACACUCUACUUGCUAUUGGUUAAAUAUAUGCUUCCGAAAUGGUACCCGUGCUCAGACAUCAAACUCACUGUUAGGAAUGAUAUCUUACGUAAAUCAUAAUUUCUCAACUAAAUAAGAUUAUUUCUUAAAAGCAACUUAAAUUUGUUUAAUGCCCUAUAGCUUACAAAGCAUGUUUCAGUUCAUAAUUUUGUUUGAUCCUUAGAAUAAUGUCAUGAAAUAGAUAAAUAUCAUUAAUCCCAUUUUACCAAGGAGGCAGCUGAAUCAUUUGACACCGUAAUUCUGCUAAUAAAUAGAACUGUGACACCAACUCAGAUUUUAUAAAUUCUAUUUCAAGUGAUUUAGCUAUAGCAAUAGACUUUUUACUUAUUUUUGUGUUCUAUGUCCCUGAAAAUCAAGAUUUUGUAUUAAAGAGCAAAGUUUUUACAAAUGGAUAAAAAAGUUAAAAUACCCGAUUUAAAAAUUCUAUUCACUUAGAUUUUGCUAAUUAUUGUUUUCCUUUGUGUGUGUGUAUCUAUCUGUCUAUCCAUCUAUCUGUCAAUGGUCUUUCAGAGUUGAAGGUCUUAAUUUCUAAAAGUCAAACAUGGGCAGCCCUAUAUAAAUUACAUAACUAACUAGAAUUUUUUUAAUGUGUAUGAAAACCCAUAGAUUACAUAUUUCAAAAUAAAAUAUAAUAAUCCUCUUUUAGAAACAGGUUCUGCAUAUUAAGUGAUUAUUUGAGAGCCUGCUGUUGAUUAAGUUCUACUAUAGGUGAGAUUUACCUUCUAGUGUUUUUUUUUUAAGCUCUAUGAGAUUGACAAAUGAAAUUGUAAGAUAUUUAAAAUGUACAUUGUGAUGAUUUGAUUCAAGCACACAUUGUGAAAGGAUUCCUUCCAUCUAGUUAAUUAACACAUCCAUCACUUUAUGUAUUUAUCUUCUUUUUUUUUUUUUGAGGAAAACACUUACGUUCUACUCUCUUAACAAAUUUCAGUUAUUCAAUACGGUGUUAUCAGCUAUAGUCACCAUAUUGUACAUUAAACUCUCAGACCUUAUUUAUCUUAUAGCUGAAAGUUUGCACUCUUUUAGCAACCUCUCCCUAAUUCCCUUAUUCUCCAGGGCUGCCCUCCUAGUGUUAAUAGACUGGUAUCUUUUGACAUCUUAGCAAGUCUGGAUAAACAAAGCUGUGUAGGACUACUUUUUGUUUCUCUUCACUUUUUGUUCUCCAUGUUAAAAAAAGUUUACAAAAUACUCUAGAAACAAUAAAUAAAAUGUUUAGUUAACCUGAUAUUGAUGUAACCUACCUAAACAUACAGAAAUCAAGAAAUGCAAAAGGAUAACACCAUGCGAUUCUAAUUAGGUUUUUAAUCAUAUUGUUUUAAUCAUAUAAUGUAGGUGUGUGUAUGUUAAUAUAAAAUUAUUAUUUUAUUUCUUAAAUUGUGUACACUUAAAUUAGUCACUUUAUGUAUACUCAAAUUAAGGCUUUUGCCCCUGAGCUAUGCUUGCAGCCAAACAAAUCUAGUCAAGCUUUUUAGGAUUAGAAAAAAAUGAAAAAGUGUCCAUAAAAGGAAAAGCAACUGUUCGGGUUGAAUGCUGCAUAUACUAUAUCAAUAAUAACACUCAUUAUAACCUUCCUUGUGCCGAGGGUUUUCUAUUAAAAUGUAACGUUAGACUGAGGAGUGUAUCAUUUUGAUUUGGAAAUGCUCAAGCCCCCAAGUUCAAACUUCUAGAGUCUUCUCUUCUGUUUGCAAAUUAAGAAAUGGAAAAAUAGACUCUCAUGUUAACAUUGAUAUGUUCAUUAGAUGCUCUUUGAAAUUUUUAAGUUUUAUAUAUUACCAAUCUCAUUCAUUUUGCUUAUGUAUGUCUCUAACAGCUGCCACUGUCCAAAACAGUUUUUCCUCCCUUUCUUCCUUCCCCACUUCCUCCUUUUCCUCCUUCCUUUCCUUCUUUCUUUCUUCUUGUCUUCUCUCCCCUGCCUCUUUCCCUCCUUUCUUCUCUCUUUUCCUCCCUCCCUUCUUCUUGUGUUAAUCAUCAGUUUUUAGGUGGUUGUGUUUUAAAAUGUAGGGCAGCUUGGGUUAAGGGACUUAUCUAUGCAAUGUAUUAUGCCAGACUGAUAACUAAAGCACAACACAGCACUCACUAGAGUUAAACGUUCAAGUCAGAGAACCCUAAGUACAAUAUGAAGAGUUCUCUGACAACCAAAAUCCAGCCUCGGGAUCAACUUUUAA